This is a long non-coding RNA of Manis javanica (Malayan pangolin), 1339 nucleotides long. RefSeq lists it as uncharacterized. The record is from RefSeq and is a predicted model, not a curated record. NCBI's taxonomy places the organism in Eukaryota, Metazoa, Chordata, Mammalia, Pholidota, Manidae.
UAUCGCGACAAUCACUGGACAGCUCGCGUGUCAUCUUACAUACAUUCAGCUUCGAAGCCAGUGAAAGCGGAUAAAGGGAAAGCUGACAAAUUCUGCUAUAUGAAGAUUAAAUCUUUUUAGAAACGAUAAAAAACUAAAAUGAAGGAAUGACAGAAUUCACAAUAGUUAAAACACGCAAUCAAUCCAAGUAUCCAUCUAAUGAAUGGAUUACCAGAAAGUGGUCUAUGCAGACAAUGGAAUAUUAUUCAGCCUUAAAAAAGGAAAGAAACUCUGUGGUAUGCUACAACCUGGAUGGUCUUGAGGACAUUAUGCUGAGAGAAGCAAGCCGGUCCAAAAAGACAAACACUGCGUGAUUUCACUACAUGAGAGACAAAAACAGAUAAGCAAAUAAACCUGCAAUGGGAUGCCCAGCUGAGAGAGUGGUCGUGAGGGAAUAAAGCAGGGUGCAGGUGCAGAGAGGCGGUGCCUCCUCAGGCGGGGUGAGUAUGGGGGAGUAGAGAGCUGAGUGAAGGAACCAGGCGGCCACGCAGACUUGCGGGGAGAGAUCAUUCAGGCAGAGAUGGCAGCAAGUGCAAAGGCCCUGCGGUUCCAGUUCCAAAGAAAUAUGAGAAGCAUUUGGCCCCCAAAUCGACUUAAUCAAGAGACAUGUAAGCAUGCUGGGAGCAUGUCACCCCACCACUAGAUCCCUACGCAGGCGGGAGUGCCUCUGUGAAACAGCACACUUGUCAGUCGCCUGCAUGUCUCCCCGUCCUUCCACCGGCCUCAAGUGGGCCCGACCAUCACAGACGGACACAAAACCACACAGCCUGCCUCCUGGGGCUCACACUUCGGGAUGCCGGCUCUCGGAAAGCACGGGCUCUGACUGCGCGUCUCUCAAAGGGGCUUCCUGUUGGCAGUAGACGGUUGAACAAAUUAUGUAGAUAAAUGUCUUGGAAUUUCCCACAUAACCUCCAGCGUUGUGUUAUAUCGGGCAGUUCACAAAGCGCUUCUACAGAAAUGUCCCUUAGUCCGUUAGCUUCCCUUCUACGGUGGGUAUUACUGUCUUCCUUAUAUAUUAUGUGUGAAAUUCACAUUAAUUACAUCGUGUUUAUGGCGUAAGGAAUCUGAGUCUCAGGCCACUGGAGUGACUUUCCCAAGAUCCCAUGUCCAGUGAAUAGGAAACCAGGACCCAAACCUGUUGCGAUGUUUGUCGUUAAGUUGCUCCAUCCACAAAUACCUGCUGGGCAUCUUCUGUGCGGGAGACCCUGUGCAGCACGGCGUGUGCGCUGGGGCUGCAAGGGGGCUGUGAGGGGGCUGCACGCCUCCUGCGGAGCUGGGGCUCAGGGUCCUCUCCCCCAAC